CUCUAUGGUUAAUACCCAUGGACGAUGACAUUAGCUGCAGAAUAAGCACCGGCUAACUCUGUGCCAGCAGCCGCGGUAAUACAGAGGGUGCAAGCGUUAAUCGGAAUUACUGGGCGUAAAGCGAGCGUAGGUGGCUUGAUAAGUCAGAUGUGAAAUCCCCGGGCUUAACCUGGGAACUGCAUCUGAAACUGUUAGGCUAGAGUAGGUGAGAGGGAAGUAGAAUUUCAGGUGUAACGGUGAAAUGCGUAGAGAUCUGAAGGAAUACCGAUGGCGAAGGCAGCUUCCUGGCAUCAUACUGACACUGAGGCUCGAAAGCGUGGGUAGCAAGCAGGAUUAGAUACCCUGGUAGUCCACGCCGUAAACGAUGUC
This 369-nucleotide ribosomal RNA is filed under the name uncultured Psychrobacter sp. Its description in RNAcentral is "bacterial SSU rRNA". It matches the Rfam family "Bacterial small subunit ribosomal RNA", at positions 446 to 813 of the family's 1533-position model. The record is from RNAcentral. Lineage: Bacteria; Pseudomonadati; Pseudomonadota; Gammaproteobacteria; Moraxellales; Moraxellaceae.